RNAcentral lists this unclassified non-coding RNA (340 nucleotides) under soil metagenome. RNAcentral describes it as "partial contains 5.8S ribosomal RNA, internal transcribed spacer 2, and large subunit ribosomal RNA". The stretch from base 1 to 121 matches the Rfam family "5.8S ribosomal RNA", at positions 35 to 154 of the family's 154-position model. The record is from RNAcentral.
GAUGAAGAACGUAAGCGAAAUGCGAUAAGUAAUGUGAAUUGCAGAAUUCCGUGAAUCAUCGAAUCUUUGAACGCACAUUGCGCCCCCUGGUAUUCCGGGGGGCAUGCCUGUCCGAGCGUCAUUGCAACCCUCAAGCGCGGCUUGUGUGUUGGGCUUCGUCCCCCCGUGGACGUGCCCGAAAGGCAGUGGCGGCGUCCCGAAUGGUGCCCGAGCGUAUGGGAACUCUCUUCCGCUCGAACCGGCCCAUUCGGCGCUGGUCGAACCCCAAUUUUUUUUUACCGGUUGACCUCGGAUCAGGUAGGGAUACCCGCUGAACUUAAGCAUAUCAAUAAGCGGAGGA